This is a non-coding RNA of Cinara cedri, 528 nucleotides long. NCBI's taxonomy places the organism in Eukaryota, Metazoa, Arthropoda, Insecta, Hemiptera, Aphididae. The record is from the annotation of a GenBank genome assembly.
UAAUUACGUUUACAUAAUUGUUGACGAAACAACCUAUUCAAGAAGUUUGUAUAAAUAAUUUUUUUAAUUUCUCAUAUAAUAAAAUAUACUAUUUUCGUUUAGGUUUCGUUAUUGCAAAUUUAUAUAUUGGUAAAUUAAAUGGGACGCCUAGUAAAUCAUAUUUAGUUGCAUGUAAAGAACUUAAAUCCACACUAUUUGUGAGUUUAUUAAUUCCUCGUUAAAAAUAUUUCCUGGUAUUGAACAAAAAGUAUUAAUUUGUAUUAGUGAUGCUGGUACAUAUAUGAUCAAAGCAACAAAAACAUUAAAAACAUUUUUCCCGAUAUUAAUUCAUAUUACAUGUAUGGCGCACGCAGUUUAUGGAUUUCUAGAGAAAAUUCGAGAAUUGUAUCCCGACAUUAAUAAAUUAAUUAACAGUGGUAAUAUAAUAAGUACCUUUUUAAAAUUUAAAUACAUAUGUAACUUAUUUCGUUUAUUUCAAAAAAAAAAAAAACUUUUCUAAAAGCACUAUCGAAAAUAAAUAAAUACAGA